ACUUUUAUGAGUUUUGCUAAGAUCUGUGUGGGUCAUUGGCUUGGAGGAAAAGGACUAAAUUAUCUUUGAGCUGUGAUCAAGCAUGAGAAAUUUCCACCCUGAGGAAAAAUAUUUGAAGGUUGCAAAAUGAAUGGAACACGGGUUCGAGCCCUGGUCUGGGAAGAUCCCACAUGCCGUGCAGCAGCUGGGCCCGUGAGCCACAACUACUGAGCCUGCGCGUCUGGAGCCUGUGCUCUGCAAGAAGAGAGGCCGCGAUAGUGAGAGGCCCGCGCA
This is a long non-coding RNA of Eubalaena glacialis (North Atlantic right whale), 273 nucleotides long. RefSeq lists it as uncharacterized. NCBI's taxonomy places the organism in Eukaryota, Metazoa, Chordata, Mammalia, Artiodactyla, Balaenidae. The transcript has 3 exons. The record is from RefSeq and is a predicted model, not a curated record.